UUUUCCUAAGGAUGUCUGUGAGUCUGGGGUACCAUGUGGUUUGGAAGACUACAGGCCAAUGGCCAGAACCAGGGGCUCUGAGCUGAGUGUCACUGCGUGUGGGGACCACAGGACAUUGCAGGCAGCCACCUUCAGGCGAGGGGAUGGACAUAUCGCUGGACUCCUGACAAGGUCUUGGCGGGCUCACCACUGGCAGCUGGGGCUGAGUUUUGGGCCAACAUUUCUGCUAGCCCAGAUCCCCGGUCACACUUUACACAGUCACUUCUUAUAAACACUUUCAUUGGUGAUACCAUGCUUGGGGUAAAGUUCAUGUUUCCCCCAUCUCAGCACCAAAGGAAGACAGUGUGCAUAAAAAGUGGAUGUUUCCUGAGGAUCUCAUUGGACCACCUUUGUAGGCAGAGCUUCCUGUGUGUAUGGCUAUAAUCCAGCAUUUCCCAAAUCAUGAAAUGGACCAACUUUGUGUUCCAGAUUAUUGCUCUUAAUAAAACCAAAGAACGAAUGCGACCUUACCAAAGCAACCAAGAAGAUGAAGAUCCAGACAUCAAGAAGAUUAAAAAGGUUCAGAGUUUCAUGCGAGGAUGGUUGUGCAGAAGGAAAUGGAAGACCAUCGUGCAGGAUUACAUUUGUUCUCCUCAUGCUGAAAGUAUGAGGAAGAGAAACCAGAUUGUGUUCACCAUGGUGGAGGCAGAGUCAGAGUACGUUCACCAGCUCUACAUCCUGGUCAACGGCUUUCUCCGGCCCCUGCGUAUGGCCGCCAGCUCCAAGAAGCCCCCCAUCAGCCACGACGACGUCAGCAGUAUUUUUCUCAACAGUGAAACAAUCAUGUUUCUUCAUGAAAUAUUUCAUCAAGGACUAAAGGCAAGGAUAGCGAACUGGCCCACUUUGAUUUUAGCUGAUCUGUUUGAUAUUUUGCUCCCCAUGCUGAACAUUUAUCAAGAAUUUGUGCGUAAUCACCAGUACAGCCUGCAAGUUCUCGCCAAUUGUAAGCAAAACAGAGAUUUUGACAAACUCUUAAAACAGUAUGAAGCCAAUCCAGCCUGUGAGGGGAGGAUGCUGGAGACAUUCUUGACCUAUCCCAUGUUUCAGAUCCCCAGAUAUAUCAUCACACUCCAUGAGCUCCUUGCUCACACACCCCAUGAGCAUGUGGAAAGGAAAAGCCUGGAGUUUGCCAAAUCAAAGCUAGAGGAACUGUCCAGAGUAAUGCACGAUGAAGUCAGCGACACUGAAAACAUAAGGAAAAACCUUGCCAUCGAAAGAAUGAUCGUGGAGGGCUGUGACAUCUUGCUGGACACCAGCCAAACGUUCAUCCGCCAAGGGACCAUGAAAAACAGCAACACAAUCAUAGUAAAGCACGAGUGGGGCAGGCAGUUACAUUCUGACUGGACGCUCCUCCUCAGCGGCCCGGACAUUCUCUGCAGCUCCAAGGAGGACCGGUCGGCCUGGCCCACGGCCGUGGCAGUGCCAAGUGCUGACGAUACCCAGGCCAAGGCCCAGGAGAAACUUGCGUUGCUCAAAGCCCUUUCACAUAAGACUGGGGACCAUGUCCGAAGUGAAAACAGCUGUCUGUUGUUCCCAUUUUUCAUCAGCACUUCCGGAUCCGCCCCACACGAUAUAAUUUGAUUCAACUGGUAACUCCCGUUGCCAGAUGAAAUGUCUCUGAUGGACACUUGCCACGCUUUGGUAAUGCAGAAGCUGUCGUGUUUGCGAAGUGUGCUUUGGGGGCAUCACUCGAUAAAUUAAGCUUUUGAAGAGUUAAAGAUAUUUGUGCCGGAAACUGUGGAGAAGCAACAGCCUGACAGUGCCUAUUUCUCCUCGGCUGUUAUUUCAAAAUGCAAGACGUAAACCACAUCCCAAGUUAUUUUUUUAGUGCUUAAGUCCUCUGGGGGAGGGGAGAAUGCCCCAGGCAAUUGAUUUGAGACAAUAUAUUGCACACAUUUAUAAUUUUGAAUUUGGUGAGGAGUGGAAUAUAAAUUUGGAACUCAAAUUAAUCGUUAAUGUAGUUUCUGUUUAUAAUGUGCCAAUGCAUUUGAAGAUAUUUGUGUUGCCAUUGCCUACCAUAAUGUACUGCUUAAAAUCUCUUUUUACCUCAUCAAGAACAAGACAAUGUUUUGUGCCAUUAAUUUUUGCACAGACUACUUUAAUAGUUUAAUGCAUGCCAUUCUAUUUUCCAUUAUUUAUUUACAAGGAGAAACCACACAUAUGUUAAAGUUUGGGAGUGUAUUUUAGGAAAUGAUUCCUUUUCUCAUUUUUGGCUUUAGAUAUUCUUUUUUCUUUAAAUAAGGGUGGAAUAUAAUGCUGACAACAUCAGGCCCUUGUAAUGCCUCCUCUAUUCCUCUGCACAGACUGUGUCCCCACAUUGGCUUCCUGCCUGCCAGCCUCUGUGCCUUUCCUUGUGCUGUCCCCAGCCUGGGGGCUGGGAAUGUCCUUACCAUUUCUUUUGUGCCUGUUGAAGUUCUGCUUGUCCCACCAGGCUCAGAUCAGAUACCUCGAAGGAGCCUUUUAUAAUUUCCUCUUCUUCCUCCUCCCCUGUCCUCCAGUUAGAAUGGAUUUACCUUCCACUUGUUUCCAAGGCACUUUACUCCUGGUGCAUGUAUUUCCUCCUCUUGCUUGUGUACCUCUCUGUCCUGGUUACUGUAAACUCUGAAGGGCAGCACUUAAGGAAUUCUCUCUGCCUUGCCUUGUCUAGUAUGAUGCUUUCUGUUACAGAUACCUGGAAAAUGGGCGUUGAAUUAAAUUAUUUACUGAAUUGC
RNAcentral lists this small RNA (2750 nucleotides) under Pan troglodytes (chimpanzee). Its description in RNAcentral is "retained intron". Lineage: Eukaryota; Metazoa; Chordata; Mammalia; Primates; Hominidae. The record is from RNAcentral.